CAAGGAAUUUUGCACAAUCGACGCAAGUCGGAUGCAGCAACGCCGCGUGGGGGAAGAAGGCCUUCGGGUCGUAAACCCCUUUUGCGAGGGAAGAAGAUCUGACGGUACCUCGCGAAUAAGUCACGGCUAACUACGUGCCAGCAGCCGCGGUAAUACGUAGGUGGCGAACGUUGUCCGGAUUCACUGGGCGUAAAGCGCGCGCAGGCGGGCUGAUCAGUCUGGGGUGAAAUCUCUCGGCUCAACCGAGAGGGGCCCUCAGAUACUGUCAGCCUUGAGGUGCCUAGAGGAGAGUGGAAUUCAGGGUGUAGUGGUGGAAUGCGUAGAUAUCCUGAGGAACACCAGUGGCGAAGGCGACUCUCUGGGGGCAUUCUGACGCUGAGGCGCGAAAGCGUGGGGAGCGAACCGGAUUAGAUACCCCCGUAGUCC
This 426-nucleotide ribosomal RNA is filed under the name uncultured prokaryote. RNAcentral describes it as "bacterial SSU rRNA". It matches the Rfam family "Bacterial small subunit ribosomal RNA", at positions 355 to 796 of the family's 1533-position model. The record is from RNAcentral.